This 475-nucleotide ribosomal RNA is filed under the name uncultured bacterium. RNAcentral describes it as "bacterial SSU rRNA". It matches the Rfam family "Bacterial small subunit ribosomal RNA", at positions 328 to 793 of the family's 1533-position model. The record is from RNAcentral.
UCAGUCGACUCCUACGGGGAUGCAGCAGUGGGGAAUAUUGCACAAUGGGGGAAACCCUGAUGCAGCCAUGCCGCGUGUGUGAAGAAGGCCUUCGGGUUGUAAAGCACUUUCAGUAGGGAGGAAGGUAGUGUAGUUAACACCUGCAUUAUUUGACGUUACCUACAGAAGAAGCACCGGCUAACUCCGUGCCAGCAGCCGCGGUAAUACGGAGGGUGCGAGCGUUAAUCGGAAUUACUGGGUGUAAAGCGCAUGCAGGCGGCCUGUUAAGUCAGAUGUGAAAGCCCGGGGCUUAACCUCGGAAUUGCAUUUGAAACUGGCAGGCUAGAGUCUUGUAGAGGGGGGUAGGAAUUUCAGGUGUAGCGGUGAAAUGCGUAGAGAUCUGAAGGAAUACCAGUGGCGAAGGCGGCCCCCUGGACAAAGACUGACGCUCAGAUGCGAAAGCGUGGGGAGCAAACAGGAUUAGAUACCCUGGUAG